AUUGAACGCUGGCGGCAGGCCUAACACAUGCAAGUCGAGCGGUAGAGAGGUGCUUGCACCUCUUGAGAGCGGCGGACGGGUGAGUAAUGCCUAGGAAUCUGCCUGGUGGUGGGGGAUAACGCUCGGAAACGGACGCUAAUACCGCAUACGUCCUACGGGAGAAAGCAGGGGACCUUCGGGCCGUUCGCGCGUAUCAGAUG
RNAcentral lists this ribosomal RNA (200 nucleotides) under uncultured bacterium. Its description in RNAcentral is "partial 16S ribosomal RNA". It matches the Rfam family "Bacterial small subunit ribosomal RNA", at positions 30 to 227 of the family's 1533-position model. The record is from RNAcentral.